This 346-nucleotide long non-coding RNA is filed under the name Homo sapiens (human). RNAcentral's name for it is "non-protein coding lnc-TMEM135-10:1". Lineage: Eukaryota; Metazoa; Chordata; Mammalia; Primates; Hominidae. The record is from RNAcentral.
GGAGUGCAAUGAGUCACUAUAUGGGAGCUUGGGUUAUCAUCUUAUGGAGAUGGUGAAUGUGUUCAAGGUAUGAGAGAGAGUAUAAUAAAAAUGUGAUGCUCAAAAAGAUGGAAUGGAGUAGAGAGUAGCUAUAUCAUCUGAACAUUCUGGUCCUUAAUUUUCCUCUCUAAAAACUAGACAUAAAACAUUCCACUCCAAGGAUAUUUUUAACAUUAGGUUUUUCCUCUCAAUUUCUCAUCGAGGUAUAGUUUACCAACAGCGAAAUACCCAUAUUUUAUGUAUAAAGUUUGAUAAGUUUUUCAAAUGCUUACAAACCCCUGUCAUGAUUUAGCACAUUUUCAUUACU